This 982-nucleotide long non-coding RNA is filed under the name Eucalyptus grandis. RNAcentral's name for it is "long non-coding RNA (EGRA_LNC000161)". The record is from RNAcentral. Lineage: Eukaryota; Viridiplantae; Streptophyta; Magnoliopsida; Myrtales; Myrtaceae.
CUCAAAUUCCUUGUGUCCGAACUAUCUUAUCUCUAGUCUUGUCUUCCUCCAGAAUUGUUGCUGUGAGAAAAAUGAAGCUUACGGUACUGGUUUUGUUGGUGAUGAUGAUGAGCUUUUGCUUGGUGGAGCCAAGGAAGGUCGCUUUGGGUGGGACACAUGGACAAGAGCAGAGAAACCAAGUGGAGAAGAGCAAAAUCCCCAUCCGCGAAGAGAAAGGAAGGGAUGUCGAGUACAAAGAAGCAAGCAGUACUAUCGACAACCACCACACCAUUCCUAGAGAAAGCUACAGCCCGACCGGACCCGGAAGCAGCAUAGACGAUGGUAGUAACGGCUGAGUAUAGAGAGAGAGAGGAAGGUGUGUAAUAGCAUACAUAUAUGUGAGGUUCGAGUUCUGGGAUAUUAUCAUGUGAAAUAGUGAUGAAAGCCGCAACAUCGUUGCGUGCGUACUUAGUUUCCAGAACACCUGUUAGUUUUUCAUUCUCGGUUUGGGCUACUGAGUUGUCGGUAAGCACGUACAACUUUGUUAAUGCCUGAUAAGAAUAUGCGCUUGUAUUCGUAUGACUUUUGCCAACUAGGGUUUUAUAAUUUGUAUUUUUGCAAACUAGGAUUUUAUAAUUUGCAUGGUUGACCAAUCCUAUAUUAAGGGCUGAAUGAAGCCGCACGAGCUCAAUAAGAAUGUAAUGCAAAAGUCUUUAUAAUUAGCGGUAUAUAUAUGGCGCAGGAUUGUUGUAAUACAAUCACUUACCGGCUCUAAGAAGACUACGAAGGAAGAACACCAUAGAACCAGCUUUGAUCUUGGGUUAUGUGGAUGGAGUCAAGCAGUUAAUAUAUUGAAUGUAUGUUACUGAUUUCAGUACUGUGUUUAGCUACCAAAGCGAUAAAGUCUGAGAGUUCUUCUUUAGACGGAACAAUCUCAUGAAUCAACGAAAAAGUGAUAUUCAAAUAUUGAUUUAGAGAUAAUGAAAAAAUGCAAGCUUCCCCC